Molecule: transfer RNA, 64 nt
Filed under: Escherichia coli
Lineage: Bacteria; Pseudomonadati; Pseudomonadota; Gammaproteobacteria; Enterobacterales; Enterobacteriaceae
Description: tRNA-Thr
Rfam family: tRNA
About the family: Transfer RNA (tRNA) molecules are approximately 80 nucleotides in length.
Source: RNAcentral
UUAGCUCAGUAGGUAGAGCAACUGACUUGUAAUCAGUAGGUCACCAGUUCGAUUCCGGUACACA